This 442-nucleotide ribosomal RNA is filed under the name uncultured bacterium. Its description in RNAcentral is "partial 16S ribosomal RNA". It matches the Rfam family "Bacterial small subunit ribosomal RNA", at positions 338 to 795 of the family's 1533-position model. The record is from RNAcentral.
CCUACGGGUGGCUGCAGUGGGGAAUAUUGGGCAAUGGGCGCAAGCCUGACCCAGCAACGCCGCGUGAAGGAAGAAGGCUUUCGGGUUGUAAACUUCUUUUGACAGGGAAGAGUAGAAGACGGUACCUGACGAAUAAGCCACGGCUAACUACGUGCCAGCAGCCGCGGUAAUACGUAGGGGGCAAGCGUUAUCCGGAAUUACUGGGUGUAAAGGGUGCGUAGGCGGUUGUUGAAGGCUGGUGGGAAAGGUUGGGGCCCCACCCCCGAAUUGCUAUUGAUACUGUAUGGCCGGAGUGCAGGAGAGGUAGGCGGAAUUCGUGGAGUAGCGGUGAAAUGCUUAGAUAUUACUAAGAACCCCGAUGGCGAAGGCAGCUUACCAGACUGUGACUGACGUUGAGGCACGAGAGCGUGGGGAGCGAACAGGAUUAGAUACCCGUGUAGUC